This 484-nucleotide ribosomal RNA is filed under the name uncultured bacterium. Its description in RNAcentral is "partial 16S ribosomal RNA". It matches the Rfam family "Bacterial small subunit ribosomal RNA", at positions 29 to 523 of the family's 1533-position model. The record is from RNAcentral.
AGUGAACGCUGGCGGCGUGCUUAACACAUGCAAGUCGAACGAGAACGGAUUAUAGCUUGCUAUAAUUGUCAGCUAAGUGGCGCACGGGUGAGUAAUGUAUAGGUAAUAUGCCUCUUACUAAGGGAUAACAAAUGGAAACGUUUGCUAAUACCUUAUACUCCUUAUUAACAGAAGUUAAUAAGGGAAAGAUUUAUUGGUAAGAGAUUAGCCUGUAUUGUAUCAGUUGGUCGGUGGGGUAAUGGCUUACCAAGACUAUGACACAUAACUGGUUUGAGAGGAUGAUCAGUCACACUGGAACUGAGACACGGUCCAGACUCCUGCGGGAGGCAGCAGUGGGGAAUAUUGCACAAUGGACGAAAGUCUGAUGCAGCGACGCCGCGUGGAGGAUGACACAUUUCGGUGCGUAAACUCCUUUUAUAUGAGAAGAUAAUGACGGUAUUAUAUGAAUAAGCACCGGCUAACUCCGUGCCAGCCGCCGCGGUAA